This 472-nucleotide ribosomal RNA is filed under the name uncultured bacterium. RNAcentral describes it as "bacterial SSU rRNA". It matches the Rfam family "Bacterial small subunit ribosomal RNA", at positions 329 to 793 of the family's 1533-position model. The record is from RNAcentral.
GCAGAGCAUCCUACGGGAGGCAGCAGUGGGGAAUAUUGCACAAUGGGCGCAAGCCUGAUGCAGCCAUGCCGCGUGUAUGAAGAAGGCCUUCGGGUUGUAAAAUACUUUCAGCAGUGAGGAAGGUGGAUAUGUUAAUAGCAUAUUCAUUUGACGUUUAGCUGCAGAAGAAGCACCGGCUAACUCCGUGCCAGCAGCCGCGGUAAUACGGAGGGUGCGAGCGUUAAUCGGAAUUACUGGGCGUAAAGCGCAUGCAGGUGGUUUGUUAAGUCAGAUGUGAAAGCCCGGGGCUCAACCUCGGAAUUGCAUUUGAAACUGGCAAACUAGAGUACUGUAGAGGGGGUAGAAUUUCAGGUGUAGCGGUGAAAUGCGUAGAGAUCUGAAGGAAUACCGGUGGCGAAGGCGGCCCCCUGGACAGAUACUGACACUCAGAUGCGAAAGCGUGGGGAGCAAACAGGAUUAGAUACCCUGGUAG